This 253-nucleotide ribosomal RNA is filed under the name uncultured bacterium. RNAcentral describes it as "partial 16S ribosomal RNA". It matches the Rfam family "Bacterial small subunit ribosomal RNA", at positions 524 to 776 of the family's 1533-position model. The record is from RNAcentral.
UACGUAGGGGGCAAGCGUUGUCCGGAAUCAUUGGGCGUAAAGAGCGUGUAGGCGGCCAGAAAAGUCCGCUGUGAAAACUCGAGGCUCAACCUCGAGACGCCGGUGGAAACCGUCUGGCUAGAGUCCGGAAGAGGAGAGUGGAAUUCCUGGUGUAGCGGUGAAAUGCGCAGAUAUCAGGAAGAACACCCGUGGCUAAGGCGGCUCUCUAGUACGGUACUGACGCUGAGACGCGAAAGCGUGGGGAGCGAACAGG